Molecule: unclassified non-coding RNA, 201 nt
Filed under: uncultured Agaricales
Lineage: Eukaryota; Fungi; Basidiomycota; Agaricomycetes; Agaricales
Description: sequence contains ITS2
Source: RNAcentral
AAUUCUCAAUCUCUCCAGCUUUGUUGUUGGAAACGAUUGGAUGUGGAGGCUUUGUGGGAUUUUUAACGAAACCCGCUCCUCUUAAAUAUAUUAGCUGGAACGCCUUUGCAACUCCAACUAUCAGUGUGAUAAUUAUCUGCACUACUGGUUGGUCUCAAAGGGCAUCUGCUUCUCAACCGUCGCAAGACAAAUUUUGAAUCA